GGGCGUUUAGCGCAGUGGUAGCGCGUAUGCUUUGCAUCUACUGCCCCAAGCAGUGAAGAGUUGUAUAAGGUCCAGGGUUCAAUCCCCUGAACGUCCA
RNAcentral lists this transfer RNA (97 nucleotides) under Sphagnurus paluster. RNAcentral describes it as "Tephrocybe palustris tRNA". It matches the Rfam family "tRNA". Rfam says of the family: Transfer RNA (tRNA) molecules are approximately 80 nucleotides in length. Their secondary structure includes four short double-helical elements and three loops (D, anti-codon, and T loops). Lineage: Eukaryota; Fungi; Basidiomycota; Agaricomycetes; Agaricales; Lyophyllaceae. The record is from Rfam by way of RNAcentral.